AAUAUUGCACAAUGGGGGAAACCCUGAUGCAGCAACGCCGCGUGAGUGACGAAGGCCUUCGGGUUGUAAAGCUCUGUCUUCACUGACGAACAAAUGACGGUAAGUGAGGAGGAAGCCACGGCUAACUACGUGCCAGCAGCCGCGGUAAUACGUAGGCGGCAAGCGUUGUCCGGAAUUAUUGGGCGUAAAGGAUGCGUAGGCGGUCUUUUAAGUGGGAUGUGAAAUACCUGGGCUUAACUCAGGGAUUGCAUUCCAAACUGGGAGACUAGAGUGCAGGAGAGGAAAGCGGAAUUCCUAGUGUAGCGGUGAAAUGCGUAGAUAUUAGGAGGAACACCAGUGGCGAAGGCGGCUUUCUGGACUGUAACUGACACUGAGGCAUGAAAGCGUGGGUAGCAAACAGGA
This 402-nucleotide ribosomal RNA is filed under the name uncultured bacterium. RNAcentral describes it as "partial 16S ribosomal RNA". It matches the Rfam family "Bacterial small subunit ribosomal RNA", at positions 360 to 777 of the family's 1533-position model. The record is from RNAcentral.